AAUGAACGCUUGCAAUAUACUUAACACAUGCUAGUUGAAUGUGUUAAUUACACUUAGCGAACAGGUGAGUAGCACAUGAGAACUUACCAUUAAAGUUUAGUAUAAUCGUAUUUCUCGAUAGAAAGAGUGUAAUUAACGAAAAAACUCAAGUAAAAAACUCUUUUUUGAAAGGCUCAUGCGAGAUCAGGUUGUUGGUUCAAUAAGAGUAGAACCAAGCCAAUAACCUCUAACUGGUUUGAAAGAAUGUACAGUCACAUCGAGACUGAGAUAAGGCUCGAGCUUUCGCCAGCAGUGGGGAAUUUUGGACAAUAAGCGAAAGCUUGAUCCAGUGAUAUUGCGUGGAUGAGGAAAGCAAAAAAGAUUUUUUUAAUCGGUCGUAAAGUCCUAUCACUAAUGAAGAUUAUGACUUUAGUUUGAGAAGAAGCCCCGACUAACCUCGUGCCAGCAGUCGCGGUAAUACGAGGGGGGCAAGCGUUAUUCAGAAUGAUUUGGUGUAAAGAGUUUGUAGAUUGUGGCUUUAGGUUAUUAGUAAAAAACUAUGUUUAUUGCUUAGAAAUACUGAUAACACUUAGUCGCUUGAGUAAGAUAGGGGUUAAUAGAAUUUUGUAUAUAGGGGUAAAAUCCAAUCAUUUACAAAGGAAUGCCAGUAGCGAAGGCGGUUUUCCGGGUUUUUUACUGACAUUGAGGAACGAAAGCGUAGGUAGCAAACGAGAUUUGAGACCUCGGUAGUCUACGCUGUCAAAUAUGAUUGUUAAUGGUAGGAGUCUUUUCUGUCAUAAAGUUAACACGUUAAACAAUCCACCUGGGGAGUAUAGUCGCAAGAUUGGAACUCAAAGAAAUUGACGGGGGUCUACACAAAUGGUGGAGUAUGUGAUUUAAUGCGAUAAUACGCGCAAAACCUUACCAGUUCUUGAAUAUAUGAAAUUGGACAUUUAAUCAUUUACAUUUUUUUUAAGCAAAAAUACUAAUUGCUUGAUAAUAAGCAUAUACAGGUGUUGCAUGGCUGUCGUCAGCUCGUGCUGUGAAGUGUUAGGUUAAUUCCUUUAACGGGCGCAACUCUUGCUUUAUUUUGGUAGUGUUUAAAUCAAUUUGAAACAACAACUUUUAGAGAACAGCUAAUGAUAAAUUAGAGGAGGCUGAGAAUGACGUCAAGCCCUUAUGGCCUUUAUGAGCUGGGCUAUACACGUGCAACAUUAUUAAUUACAAAAAGUUAUACUAGAAGGUAACUUUAAGUAAAUCUUUAAAAAUUAAUGUGUUCGAAUUGAAGACUGUAACUCGUCUUCAUGAAGUUGGAAUCAUAAUUAAUCGUAAAUCAGCACGUUACGGUGAAUUUGUACUUAGAUCUUGCACACACCGCCCGUCACACGCUAGGAUUGAGUUUCGAUUGAAGAAGUUUUAAUAAAUAAAAGACUUCAAAGUCUCUAACAAUUGAUAAUAUUUUAGUUUUUUCGUUUAUAUUUAGUCAUGCUCCUAUUUUGGAAUUCGAGACUGGGGUG
RNAcentral lists this ribosomal RNA (1496 nucleotides) under uncultured eukaryote. RNAcentral describes it as "bacterial SSU rRNA". It matches the Rfam family "Bacterial small subunit ribosomal RNA". The record is from RNAcentral.